CUAAGGCUUGGGUGGCAGUUUCCGGAAAUCUUGUUCGCUGUAUUCGCGGUGCUGUUGCUCCCUUUCCUGACCUAGCGUAGGCCCCGCGGCGGCCCAGGCCCGGGCAUUUGACUUUCUAAUGACGGAAUUACUGGAGCAGCAAGGGAGACCACGCACUCGCAGAAGCUUCUAGGCACGGGAACACACCUCCGCGCCGGGUGCCAUUUCCCCAGGUGCAACCUGGAUUGGCUCUGGGCCACGCUCAAGAGAAGCCUCCUGGAAACUGUACAUCUGCCACAACGGGGCUGCAAUCAAACGCCAGAGUGUUUCCUUUGCUCAGGAACCCCAUCAGCUCCGGCCGUCAUACUGAUCAAAGGCGCCCAAUGGCAGCCGUCUAUGUUACCGAGGAGUAAAUUCAGAUGGGAAACUCAUUAUUGCUUAAUAACUGUCCUCUCCAAGUCGUCUUACCUUUGUAAGUGCACCACCCACGCACCCAGCCGCCCACCAACGCAGGAGUCAGUCAUCCCCAGCUCCUCUCCCUGCACUGCUCCCUGCCCCUCCCCCCUCCAGGUCAUCAGCAAGUACUCCAAACACAGCCCAUCUGCCUGCCACCUUCCAGGGAUACCUUGCUUCCAUCCGUGCCCCUCCCCUUCUGACCACACUCCCAAGGUCCGAGGUCGUCACUAGGUCCCCCAGAAGCAUAGUUUUCUGGCUCCCACUCACGCCUUUCUCAUUCUGGCCAUACUGACCUUGGGGCUCCUGGACACACUGGGCCCCUCCCUGCCUCAGGGUCCUUGCGUCAGCUGCCCCCUCCCCUCCUUCCCGCCUGGACAUUCUCCCCCCAGACUGCUCGACAGAUGGCUCCUUCUUGUCAUUCAGGCCUUGGCUCAAAUGCCACUUCUGCAGUAAAGGUCCCUCUAAAGGCGCCUCCUAGGCCCUCCUGGUGACAUCACA
This is a long non-coding RNA of Hyaena hyaena (striped hyena), 933 nucleotides long. RefSeq lists it as uncharacterized. The record is from RefSeq and is a predicted model, not a curated record. Lineage: Eukaryota; Metazoa; Chordata; Mammalia; Carnivora; Hyaenidae. The transcript is spliced from 3 exons.